GACGAACGCUGGCGGCGUGCCUAAUACAUGCAAGUCGAGCGCAGGAAAUCAUCUGAACCCUUCGGGGGGACGUUGAUGGAAUGAGCGGCGGACGGGUGAGUAACACGUAAAGAACCUGCCCUCAGGUCUGGGAUAACCACGAGAAAUCGGGGCUAAUACCGGAUGGGUCAUCGGACCGCAUGGUCCGAGGAUGAAAGGCGCUGCGGCGUCGCCCGGGGAUGGCUUUGCGGUGCAUUAGCUCGUUGGUGGGGUAAUGGCCCACCAAGGCGACGAUGCAUAGCCGACCUGAGAGGGUGGUCGGCCACACUGGGACUGAGACACGGCCCAGACUCCUACGGGAGGCAGCAGUAGGGAAUCUUCCACAAUGGACGAAAGUCUGAUGGAGCAACGCCGCGUGAACGAUGAAGGCCUUCGGGUCGUAAAGUUCUGUUGUAAGGGAAGAACAAGUGCCGCAGGCAAUGGCGGCACCUUGACGGUACCUUGCGAGAAAGCCACGGCUAACUACGUGCCAGCCGCCGCCGUAA
RNAcentral lists this ribosomal RNA (524 nucleotides) under uncultured bacterium. Its description in RNAcentral is "partial 16S ribosomal RNA". It matches the Rfam family "Bacterial small subunit ribosomal RNA", at positions 28 to 523 of the family's 1533-position model. The record is from RNAcentral.